Molecule: long non-coding RNA, 98 nt
Filed under: Urocitellus parryii (Arctic ground squirrel)
Lineage: Eukaryota; Metazoa; Chordata; Mammalia; Rodentia; Sciuridae
Description: lncRNA (ENSUPAG00010003264.1)
Source: RNAcentral
CCACCAGAGUGAGUCACGGUGACAAACACACGCCUGUCCUCUCAAUGCUCAGAGGACAGGGAAACAGAGUGCUUCUCCCACAGUGCUGCACUGGGUGG